AUCGCUGACUGACUGCUUCAAUCUUAUCCCCAAUCGGCGGCCUGCGUGUGGCCCUUGCCCGGCGGCGGCGACCUGCGCACAGGCCUUCCCCGGCGGCGGCGGCGGCCGUACCCCGGCGGCGGCAGCCUGGACGCGGCCCUUUCUCGACCGGCCAUCCACGUGCGGCUCUUCCCUGGCUGGCGGCGGCCUGAGCGCGGCCCUCCCUCGACCGGCCAUCCGCUGAUUGGAGCUCCAGCCAGGGCCUCGUCGCGCUGGCUGUCACGACCUAGGCCUCGGUCCGCAUAGGGCUCGCUGGCCAAGGUCUCGUCGCGUAGGGUCUCGGCGUCCUAGGCCUCGGUCUACCUAGGGGCUCGCCGGGCAUACGCCCACCGCAUAGGGGCUUGCCGGUGCGCCCUGCGCCAGGCAUUAGGACCAACAUCGGCCACUCAACUGGCGGCCAAUACGUCAACGAACAACACAGCCAAGGUGGGAGCUGGAACUUUGCAACACCUUUCUAGCCCUCUUAAUGCUGAAGCUUUGGCUGCGAUGCAAGGUUGGAAACCUGCUUUACAAUAGGGGAUGACUCUUUACAACAGGGGAGCAAUCACCAAUCCGAUUAACCUUCAGUGUGCCAUCAGAUGUUUAGAUUAAUCAAUUGCAUGGUGGUGUGUAUCAUGACUCUGAAAAGUUGAAGACCUGAGCAGGGUGCUAAUAAGUGCUUUAGACAUUUCACAUUUUUUGUAAGAUUGUUACGUAUCACCUUGAGUGCGACUUUGAGAAACUGAAUCAGGGUCAGUUGGGAUGUGAAGAAUUGGUACGAGUAUCUUAAGCCGUGUUGCAGUCACUUUUCACACAACCAUGUAUUUCGUGUUACAGAAAUGGUAGUACUGUCUUGUAUAUAAUCAA
This is a long non-coding RNA of Panicum hallii, 885 nucleotides long. RefSeq lists it as uncharacterized. NCBI's taxonomy places the organism in Eukaryota, Viridiplantae, Streptophyta, Magnoliopsida, Poales, Poaceae. The record is from RefSeq and is a predicted model, not a curated record. The transcript has 2 exons.